This 254-nucleotide ribosomal RNA is filed under the name uncultured bacterium. RNAcentral describes it as "partial 16S ribosomal RNA". It matches the Rfam family "Bacterial small subunit ribosomal RNA", at positions 524 to 776 of the family's 1533-position model. The record is from RNAcentral.
UACGUAGGUGGCAAGCGUUGUCCGGAAUUAUUGGGCGUAAAGCGCGCGCAGGCGGUCCUUUAAGUCUGAUGUGAAAGCCCACGGCUCAACCGUGGAGGGUCAUUGGAAACUGGGGGACUUGAGUACAGAAGAGAAGAGUGGAAUUCCACGUGUAGCGGUGAAAUGCGUAGAGAUGUGGAGGAACACCAGCGGCGAAGGCGGCAUCCUGGACUGGUCCGUGACGCUCAGGAGCGAAAGCGUGGGGAGCGAUCCGG